AAACGAUGGAGGUCAGUCGUGUCUGUGGGAUUCAGCCGUCUCUGGCGGUGUACUUCCCACAGACGGGUCAACAUCAGUUUUGGCUGGCGGAUAAAGGCAGGAGGAAGGUGGCACCCCCGGGUGUGUUAUAGCCUCUGGUUGUAUACAUUGGUUGGGACUGAGGAACUCAGCACGCCGCAAGGCCGGGUUUUUAACCACGUUCGUGCUUAGGAUGCUGGCAUAAUGGC
This 227-nucleotide ribosomal RNA is filed under the name Trimorphomycetaceae sp. RNAcentral's name for it is "partial large subunit ribosomal RNA". Lineage: Eukaryota; Fungi; Basidiomycota; Tremellomycetes; Tremellales; Trimorphomycetaceae. The record is from RNAcentral.